RNAcentral lists this ribosomal RNA (649 nucleotides) under uncultured bacterium. RNAcentral describes it as "bacterial SSU rRNA". It matches the Rfam family "Bacterial small subunit ribosomal RNA", at positions 9 to 660 of the family's 1533-position model. The record is from RNAcentral.
GAGUUUGAUCAUGGCUCAGAUUGAACGCUGGCGGCAUGCCUUACACAUGCAAGUCGAACGGUAACGGGUUAAGCCGACGAGUGGCGAACGGGUGAGUAAUAUAUCGGAACGUGCCCAAUCGUGGGGGAUAACGCAGCGAAAGUUGUGCUAAUACCGCAUAAGAUCUACGGAUGAAAGCGGGGGAUCGCAAGACCUCGCGCGAGUGGAGCGGCCGAUAUCAGAUUAGCUAGUUGGUGAGGUAAAGGCUCACCAAGGCGACGAUCUGUAGCUGGUCUGAGAGGACGACCAGCCACACUGGGACUGAGACACGGCCCAGACUCCUACGGGAGGCAGCAGUGGGGAAUUUUGGACAAUGGGCGCAAGCCUGAUCCAGCAAUGCCGCGUGCAGGAUGAAGGCCUUCGGGUUGUAAACUGCUUUUGUACGGAGCGAAAAGGUCUGCCCUAAUACGGUGGGCUCAUGACGGUACCGUAAGAAUAAGCACCGGCUAACUACGUGCCAGCAGCCGCGGUAAUACGUAGGGUGCAAGCGUUAAUCGGAAUUACUGGGCGUAAAGCGUGCGCAGGCGGUUAUAUAAGACAGAUGUGAAAUCCCCGGGCUCAACCUGGGCACUGCAUUUGUGACUGUAUAGCUAGAGUACGGUAGAGGGGG